ACGGGAGGCAGCAGUGGGGAAUUUUGCGCAAUGGGGGCAACCCUGACGCAGCAACGCCGCGUGCGGGAUGACGGCCUUCGGGUUGUAAACCGCUUUCAGUGGGAAAGAUUAUGACGGUACCCACAGAAGAAGCUCCGGCUAACUACGUGCCAGCAGCCGCGGUAAUACGUAGGGAGCAAGCGUUAUCCGGAUUCAUUGGGCGUAAAGCGCGCGUAGGCGGCUUGUUAAGCAAGAUUUUAAAUCUGGGGGCUCAACCUUCAGCCGGAUCUUGAACUGGCAGGCUCGAGUUUGGUAGAGGAAAGUGGAAUUCCCAGUGUAGCGGUGAAAUGCGCAGAUAUUAGGAGGAACACCGGCGGCGAAGGCGGCUUGCUGGACAGAUACUGACGCUGAGGCGCGAAAGCGUGGGGAGCAAACAGGAUUAGAUACCCUGGUA
This 433-nucleotide ribosomal RNA is filed under the name uncultured Denitrobacterium sp. RNAcentral's name for it is "partial 16S ribosomal RNA". It matches the Rfam family "Bacterial small subunit ribosomal RNA", at positions 341 to 792 of the family's 1533-position model. The record is from RNAcentral. Lineage: Bacteria; Bacillati; Actinomycetota; Coriobacteriia; Eggerthellales; Eggerthellaceae.